AUGCCGUCCCCCGCCUGUUUACUUGCUCGUGGUCGCCCACCCUCCGUCUCUUUCCUAAAUCGCGCAACCCCUAGUAUAGUUAAUUGGGCUGGGACUGGGCUGCGUGUUUGCUCUUGCUAGUCGCGCGCCGCCGCGCUAACAUGUUCCUUCGCUCUUGUUCGUGACACUCCCCUGCUGCCGCCCUGUGCUCUGUUGUUUUCUUAUUCGCUCGUAGGUGAGAAUUUCAUCGAGGAUUGGGCGGGAGCUUGGACUUAGCGGCCAGGAGUAGCGACGCGGAGCUGGGAAUUGUAGGAGUGCCUGGGCCUCACGGUACCGUGAGCACAUGCAUGGGUUUGCACCCUUGAGAGCGUGUGGACACUAAUCCCCCCUCGAGGUUAGAGUAGCGGGGGUUGCGCGAUUUCCGGUUGGUAAGACCGGCGGCUCAACGCAGCAGGUAUGCGAGGUAACUUCAGGUAACAUCCGUAAACCGUCGCUUUGCUGCAUCGCAUACACUGUCUUUGCGCAACGUUUUCCUUGUGCUCUUUAACACAAGUGCGCGAGCCGGUUCAUGUCCCGCGGGCGUGCCGGGGCCUCUAGGGCUCGUGUUUUAGCGACUUGAUUUGUGAGUGUAUGGACAAUUUCUGGUGGUGAAAUUGCCCUAUGCUCACAAAUCUGUCGAAGGGUAAUUUUCGGCGUCCUACUCAGUGCUGUGCUGCGUGCCGUCGCGUCUGGACGAUGCUACCGAAAAUUGCUAUCUUGUCGGAGUUUUGGGCACUAGGCCUGGAGCCCGUUCCGCGGGGUCGGGGACCGGGCUGGGGGCCUUGUGGCGCCUCGGGCGCGCCGUGUUCCUCCUGCUUGUCGCGUUCCUCUGAUUUGCGCCAUAACCUGUACUGACUUUGGGCCCGCCCUCCCCGUGCCGCUGCCCCGCGGCAUCGACGUCCCCAUAAGCUGUACGUGUACUUGGACCUGGUGCUACAUGGCCGCAUGAGGGGAGUACCUAGCGUGUGCCGCCUCCGUCACACCAUGGAGUGGGGAGCGGGGGUUUUUCCCCCGCCAGCCCAUGGUGCUGACACCCCAUUUGCAUUUGCCGUCAUGCAUGCGCCCAUGCCGUCCCCCGCCUGUUUACUUGCUCGUGGUCGCCCACCCUCCGUCUCUUUCCUAAAUCGCGCAACCCCUAGUAUAGUUAAUUGGGCUGGGACUGGGCUGCGUGUUUGCUCUUGCUAGUCGCGCGCCGCCGCGCUAACAUGUUCCUUCGCUCUUGUUCGUGACACUCCCCUGCUGCCGCCCUGUGCUCUGUUGUUUUCUUAUUCGCUCGUAGGUGAGAAUUUCAUCGAGGAUUGGGCGGGAGCUUGGACUUAGCGGCCAGGAGUAGCGACGCGGAGCUGGGAAUUGUAGGAGUGCCUGGGCCUCACGGUACCGUGAGCACAUGCAUGGGUUUGCACCCUUGAGAGCGUGUGGACACUAAUCCCCCCUCGAGGUUAGAGUAGCGGGGGUUGCGCGAUUUCCGGUUGGUAAGACCGGCGGCUCACCGCAGCAGGUAUGCGAGGUAACUUCAGGUAACAUCCGUAAACCGUCGCUUUGCUGCAUCGCAUACACUGUCUUUGCGCAACGUUUUCCUUGUGCUCUUUAACACACACACACACACACACACACACACACACACACACACACACACACACACACAUUCUCCACGUACGCGCAAUCAGCAUACUCUCCGCAUGUGGUGCGGUGUAAUUUGUAACCCCAGCCCAACCUGCGGCAUGCACUACCG
RNAcentral lists this long non-coding RNA (1750 nucleotides) under Chlamydomonas reinhardtii. Its description in RNAcentral is "long non-coding RNA (CREI_LNC001182)". The record is from RNAcentral. Lineage: Eukaryota; Viridiplantae; Chlorophyta; Chlorophyceae; Chlamydomonadales; Chlamydomonadaceae.